CCUACGGGAGGCUGCAGUGAGGAAUAUUGGUCAAUGGGCGCGAGCCUGAACCAGCCAAGUCGCGUGAGUGAAGACGGUCCUAUGGAUUGUAAACCUCUUUUGUCGGGGCGCAAAAGACGCCACGCGUGGCGUUCCGAGAGUACCCGAAUAAAAAGCAUCGGCUAACUCCGUGCCAGCAGACGCGGUAAUACGGAGGAUGCGAGCGUUAUCCGGAUUUAUUGGGUUUAAAGGGUGCGCAGGCGGAAGAUCAAGUCAGCGGUAAAAUUGAGGGGCUCAACCUCUGCGAGCCGUUGAAACUGGUUUUCUGGAGUGAGCGAGAAGUAUGCGGAAUGCGAGGUGUAGCGGUGAAAUGCAUAGAUAUCACGCAGAACACCGAGUGCGAAGGCAGCAUACCGGCGCUCAACUGACGCUCAUGCACGAAAGUGUGGGUAUCGAACAGGAUUAGAUACCCGGGUAGUC
Molecule: ribosomal RNA, 459 nt
Filed under: uncultured bacterium
Lineage: Bacteria
Description: partial 16S ribosomal RNA
Rfam family: Bacterial small subunit ribosomal RNA
Source: RNAcentral